RNAcentral lists this microRNA precursor (85 nucleotides) under Medicago truncatula (barrel medic). RNAcentral describes it as "MIR2617 microRNA precursor family". It matches the Rfam family "MIR2617 microRNA precursor family". Lineage: Eukaryota; Viridiplantae; Streptophyta; Magnoliopsida; Fabales; Fabaceae. The record is from Rfam by way of RNAcentral.
AAGAAGUGUAGCAUUCCGUUUAGGUGAAUUACUCUGAUUAAAUAAAUGAAAUUUUUAUGUUGGGAAAAUGGGGUGUUACAUUCUU